RNAcentral lists this ribosomal RNA (473 nucleotides) under uncultured Caldisericum sp. RNAcentral describes it as "bacterial SSU rRNA". It matches the Rfam family "Bacterial small subunit ribosomal RNA", at positions 920 to 1382 of the family's 1533-position model. Lineage: Bacteria; Pseudomonadati; Caldisericota; Caldisericia; Caldisericales; Caldisericaceae. The record is from RNAcentral.
CCCGGCACAAGCAGCGAGGUAUGUGGUUUAAUUCGACGCUACGCGAAGAACCUUACCUGGGCUUGACAUGCUUGAGAAAGGACCAAGAAACUGGUCCCCCAUGACCGCAAGGUCAUGGCUCAUCCACAGGUGCUGCAUGGUUGUCGUCAGCUCGUGUCGUGAGAUGUAAGGUUAAGUCCUUGAACGAGCGCAACCCCUUUCGUCAGUUGCAAACCAGCAAUGGCGCACCCUGACGAUACUGCCAGCUAAAAGUUGGAGGAAGGAGGGGAUGACGUCAAAUCCUCAUGGCCUUUAUGUCCAGGGCUACACACAUGCGACAAUGGUCGGUACAACGGGUUGCAACACCGCGAGGUGAAGCCAAUCCCUAAAAACCGACCUCAGUUCAGAUUGCAGACUGCAAUUCGUCUACAUGAAGAUGGAGUUGCUAGUAACCGCGGGUCAGCUACACCGCGGUGAAUAUGUUCCCGGGCCUU